CUCUGUCUCUGUCGUCUCUCUCGCUGGCUUUUUAAAAAUGAGGAACCGCUCCUUGAAUGUUCUGGACAGAGCACAGAAUUGCUUCUUAAGUCAGCCCGGCGCGGUUGCAAUAGACAGCAAAAAGGUAAACGUUUGCCUGAAAUCCGCACGCCAGCUCCACCGCCCCGCCCGAUGGUCCCAGUUCCUCUGGGAAUCGUCCUGUAUGCAACAUCUUCACAAGAGUGGCAGGCAGUUGAAUCUCUGGCCUUCGUGGGACCACUGGACAUCUGGCAGAGAACCAGGAAACCACGGUUCCCUUCUGUGAGUCCCUCAGCCGGAAAACUACAAGGUGUGUGACUGUAGGAUGAGGCUUUUUGAAAGAUGAAGUACGACACUUUGAGAAAGUGUUUGGAAAGAAACUGGCUGAUGUCGAAUGGAAAUCUGAACAUUCACAGAUUUCUUUUCCUAGAUAUAGAAACGCAAAAGCUUACAUGUACACAUUUAAAAAAAAUUAAAUUAUCUUUUCUUUCUUGCC
This 514-nucleotide long non-coding RNA is filed under the name Homo sapiens (human). RNAcentral's name for it is "non-protein coding NR2F2-AS1:42". The record is from RNAcentral. Lineage: Eukaryota; Metazoa; Chordata; Mammalia; Primates; Hominidae.